Molecule: long non-coding RNA, 398 nt
Organism: Brassica rapa (field mustard)
Lineage: Eukaryota; Viridiplantae; Streptophyta; Magnoliopsida; Brassicales; Brassicaceae
Source: RefSeq, a predicted model, not a curated record
UUUUGUGGCCAUGAGUAAGAGUAAUCCGUAACCCCCCCCCCCUCCUUCUAGCACCAAACUGUGGGAACCGAAAUUCACACCGUCUAUUUCCGUUUAAAUAAGGAAACUAGGAAAACCCUAGUUUCCCAGAGGUCCCGGAUAUCUGCUAAUACCACACGCUAAGCAAUCAGAACACGAGGUAACAAUGAUAAAGUAUAUGAAAUCGUAAAAAGAGAGCAAAAGGAGUUUUAUUCCGAAUUCGCGUAGGAGCGUUACAACAAGGUAGAAGCCUCGGCUAUGAGAGCUGUCGGCGAGAUUCCUAGUUCUAACAACCUAAGACUGCAAAACCUAGUUGAGUCGCAGCUCGAAAUAACAAAAACGGAAAGUUGCCUAACUGCUCUAAUUGAUAAGUUUGCUCU